CCUACGGGUGGCUGCAGUGGGGAAUAUUGCACAAUGGGGGAAACCCUGAUGCAGCAACGCCGCGUGAGUGAAGAAGUAUUUCGGUUUGUAAAGCACUAUCAGCAGGGACGAAGAUGACGGUGUCUGAGUAAGAAGUCCCGGCUAACUACGUGCCAGAAGCCGCGGUAAUACGUAGGGGGCAAGCGUGCUCCGGAUGUACUGGGUGUAAAGGGAGCGUAGACGGUGAGCCAAGUCUGAAGUGAAAGCCCGGGGCUCAACCCCGGGACUGCUUUGGAAACUGCCUGACUGGAGUGCUGGAGAGGGAAGCGGAAUUCCGGGUGUAGCGGUGAAAUGCGUAGAUAUUAGGAAGAACACCAGUGGCGAAGGCGGCUUGCUGGACAGUAACUGACGUUGAGGCUCGAAAGCGUGGGGAGCAAACAGGAUUAGAUACCCGAGUAGUC
Molecule: ribosomal RNA, 440 nt
Filed under: uncultured bacterium
Lineage: Bacteria
Description: partial 16S ribosomal RNA
Rfam family: Bacterial small subunit ribosomal RNA
Source: RNAcentral